RNAcentral lists this unclassified non-coding RNA (543 nucleotides) under Hevea brasiliensis (rubber tree). Lineage: Eukaryota; Viridiplantae; Streptophyta; Magnoliopsida; Malpighiales; Euphorbiaceae. The record is from RNAcentral.
GACCCCAAAUUUUUGGGAUAAAAUCUUAGUUGAGCUGAGUUAUUGCAUUUCCCUGUGGUGAACUUUUCUUUUAAGUCUCCAUAAAAAAAAUGGGUAACUCUACCACAUUCUUGAAAAGCAAACUCUAAUACCCCAACAUAGUGCUUCUUUGAAUGCAGAAUAUCAAAACAGAAAAUUCUAACCGUCAUUAGCAUACUCGAUCUUAAUUUGAUUAAAAGUACCAACAAAUUUUCACCCAUAUAAAGAAAUGGAAUCCCAUUUAGAAUUUAUACAACGACUUCUACUUAACUUUCUUGAAUACUGCUCAAAGUCCUGAGAGCAGCUACAAACUGAAAGCAAAGAUGGCAUCGAGCUCGAAGCUCGAUCCAAUACCAGCUGAACAAAGCAAAACCGUUUACACUUUAUCAAUGAUAUCAAAGCCUACUAUCUAGCAGCCAAAAAUAUAUUUAUCAAAUCAUUUAACCUGAUUUCACCUAUAUUACCUAAGAAAACGAAAAACCAAUACCAAUUCACGCAUUAAAAGCUUCCAAGCCGUCCCCACCA